CAAGUCGAACGGGGUCCAUGCUGUAGCAAUACAGCGGAAGACCUAGUGGCGAACGGGUGAGUAUCACGUGAGAAACCAACCCCGGUCUCUGGGAUAACAGGUGGAAACACCUGCUAAUACCGGAUGCCGUCGUUUCCUCGCAUGGGGAGAUGACGAAAGGGCUACCGGAUCGGGACGGUCUCGCGGCCUAUCAGCUUGUUGGGGAGGUAACGGCUCACCAAGGCUUCGACGGGUAGCUGGUCUGAGAGGAUGAUCAGCCACACUGGGACUGAGACACGGCCCAGACUCCUACGGGAGGCAGCAGUGGGGAAUCUUGCGCAAUGGGCGAAAGCCUGACGCAGCAACGCCGCGUGCGGGAUGAAGGCCUUCGGGUUGUAAACCGCUUUUACCAGGAAGGAAAAUGACAGUACCUGGAGAAUAAGGUGCGGCCAACUACGUGCCAGCAGCCGCGGUGACACGUAGGCACCAAGCGUUGUCCGGAUUUAUUGGGCGUAAAGAGCUCGUAGGCGGUUCAGUAAGUCGGGUGUGAAAACUCUGGGCUCAACUCAGAGACGCCACCCGAUACUGCUGUGACUUGAGUCCGGUAGGGGAGUGGGGAAUUCCUGGUGUAGCGGUGAAAUGCGCAGAUAUCAGGAGGAACACCAAUGGCGAAGGCACCACUCUGGGCCGAGACUGACGCUGAGGAGCGAAAGCGUGGGUAGCAAACAGGACUAGAUACCCUGGUAGUCCACGCCGUAAACGGUGGGCACUAGGUGUGGGUUCCAACCAACGGAAUCCGCGCCGGCGCUAACGCAUUAAGUGCCCCGCCUGGGGAGUACGGCCGCAAGGUUAAAACUCAAAGGAAUUGACGG
Molecule: ribosomal RNA, 851 nt
Filed under: uncultured bacterium
Lineage: Bacteria
Description: bacterial SSU rRNA
Rfam family: Bacterial small subunit ribosomal RNA
Source: RNAcentral